Mus musculus (house mouse) is the source of this 2627-nucleotide long non-coding RNA. RefSeq annotates it as predicted gene, 36634. The transcript is spliced from 3 exons. NCBI's taxonomy places the organism in Eukaryota, Metazoa, Chordata, Mammalia, Rodentia, Muridae. The record is from RefSeq and is a predicted model, not a curated record.
AUAUAUGAAGUUAAAGUUUGUAAAAAAAAAAGCCACAGUAUGGACUCAAAGCCCCAUCUAUAAAGGAUACUGCAGAAGGUGACUUGGGGCUGCAGGUAUAAAAUGAAGGAGUAUGUAUAUUUAUGCCUCCUUGGGCUGUCCCGACAGCUUCAGGCCUUGGCAUCAACUUCGGUAUUGUUUAGUGUGACACCUAGUGGCAGGAGUCAGGCUCAAGCAUUUCUGGGCUGUCACAGAACCCUUUGAAAAAAUCUGGGCGGUGCUGAGGCCGGCUGACUUGGCCCUCCCUGGGAAUUCCCUAGGAGUUACCUUCUGUUUACCUGCAGCUCAGGAACACUGUUGACUUACUAAAGUGAGCCAACAGGCUUUCUUUCCAUGCACGGCUCCAUAUAGCUUAAGUCAACAACACCACAGCUCAGCAGGAUUGUGUGUGGACAGACAAGAAGGAAGAUGUCCAACAAUGAAAGGGUCUGGCUUCUUGGAGGCGGCAAGUGAACUUGUGGAUCCUUCCAUGCUUCAGUUUUCUCCUCAUUGUCAAACAUUUAUCUAAGCUUAACACUUUUAAACUGUCAAAGCUUUACAUCACUGUUUUGGAGACAAGGUCUCACCAUUGGGUCACAGCCAGCCUUGACCUCCUGAGUGCUAGGAUUGCAAUCGUCCGACACUGUGCCUAGCCCUGUCUUGGUGUUUGUGAGCUCAGGGCUGGGGAUGACCUCAGGGCCUCUUGCAAAGAUGAUAAACACAUAGUUUACCACGAAACUACACCUCAGUCUUUUGUUUUUCCUUUUAAAGCAGAAGGCAAAAAUAAUAUCUUGUACCUUGUAGCAACUUAGUGUAGGCUGGCCUCAAGAGAUGACAAGAUGGCCCCACAAUGGUCCCGGACUGGCUAUGGACUGAAGCUCCUCUGUGGGAAAGGGAUGUUGUCAAGGCAGAUGAGACUGGAUAGUUCAUGAAUCCUCCUGGGUGAAACUAAACUUCCUCCCUCAAAGGAGCUUUUGUGCAAGUUCAACCAGGUGGUCCAACCUGCCCCACCCCAUCCCCCAUGGGCAGACUGGCUUGGGUCAAUUGUUUUAGGCAAUUAUUCCUAACUUGUUUUAGUCCCAGACAGGAGCGCGCAGGAAUGAGACAACCCAUGCUGGUGCAGCUGGGCUGGAGAAGAGAGGAGCAGGAGACCUAGAAGGGGCAAGCAUGGUAGAAAUGCACAGUGGCCAGCCCUGAUGUGACAGUGUGAAUGCAGAUGUGCAACUCUGUCUCUAACUCAGGCUUCUGUGGUGGCUAGCCUCCACCCUGUAAGACCGUGGAAGCUCCACCCCCCACCCCACUCCACCCCAGCUAGAGAUCUUUUCCCACAGAAAGGCAGCUGUCAGGACUUCCAUUUGCACUGAGAUAAAAAUAAACAGUCAAAGCCUUAGUGGGCUUCCUUUGCUUCAAAUCCUACAUUGUCAUGGAGAUCAAAGCCUUAGAGGACGUCUGCAGAAGUUCCUACCCACAGAGGCCAGGCAGGACUCACAGGAGGACUGCGUGUAUCUACUUCGAAGUCUCGUUAUUUCAGUCAACACCCGUGCAUGGCUUCUGCUCACUGGGGAAGUUGCUGCAGGGGUAGGAGGAGACCUGGUGUCAGCCCUGGCCAGAACUGGCUCGCUCCUCUCUGCUUGUUGACAGUAACCAGGCAACAGGUUCAGGAAAGACCUGAAGAAUCCCAGCUCCAUGAUCUUGAAGGACUCGGGCCCACCCCCAGGUUUCCAGGACAUCUCGAGAGGAACAGAAACAUGGGGGCACAGCAUGGGGGUGUGCGCAGGAAGCAGAGGCACGGCUUACAGAGAAGCAGAGGUUGGGACUUUUCCUUGGCUGGCAAGAUGAAAUUCAGCCGCCAAGAGGCGCACAGUGCGCACCGUGCUGUCUGCAGCGACAUCUUCUGGCCACUUUUGGAAUAACUUUCCUUUGAGGAAUUGUCUUUAAAGAACGGUUUAGGCAAAAGCCAGGUGGAGGAUUUGUACUGUGGUUGUAUCUAGGUGAGAGGAGAGUUCAGCAUUUAUCACAAACCCAAGAAAGCCCUCAUUCUGCCUGGCAGAACUCCCCCUGAAGCCUGUAGCCAGUCAGCUCAGCCCACUGAAUAAUCAAACAUCCUUGGUAUCUAUGUCCAUUCCUCUGCAGGACAGGGUUGUCGAUAUGUAGCCUAGGCUGCCCUCGAACCUAGGAUCCUCUUGCCACAGCCUCCUGAGUGCCGGCAUUACAUCGCUGGUCAGCGUCAACACUUGGGUGACAGGAACAGGCUACUGUGCUUAUCUGUGUGUGUGUGUGUGUGUGUUUUGAAAUUUGUUGUUGGGCUGGUGAGAAGGCUCAGUGGUUGAGAGUGCCGACUGCUCUUCCAGAGGUCCUGAGUUCAAAUCCCAGCAACCACAUGGUGGCUCACAACCAUCCAUAACAAAAAUCUGGUGCCCUCUUCUGGAGUGUCUGAAGACAGCUACAAUGUACACACAUAUAAUAAACAAACAAACAAACAAACAAAUAAACAAACAAAUAAAUCUUAAAAAAAAGAAUUGAGAAACCAUCAGUUACAAGCCAAGUUCAAAGUCAACUAAUGUUACAAGACACCCAGACUCUAAAAUAUUAAAAAAAUUGUUGUUGGU